UGAGCUGUUAAUCGAAAAUUAGAAUUUUGAG
This 31-nucleotide non-coding RNA is filed under the name Mus musculus (house mouse). The record is from RNAcentral. Lineage: Eukaryota; Metazoa; Chordata; Mammalia; Rodentia; Muridae.